AAAGCAAGAACAAAGGAAGAAAAAGGAAGAACAAACCCUAGGUACACAAAUUCAAGGGAAAAGUGUGAAAAUUCAAGGAAACAAGUUAAAAAAAGUAAGAUUUUUUUCAAUUAAGCUUGAGAUCUAUCUUUCUUAAGCAUUUUUUUCUUAUUUUUCAUGGUUGAAUCACAUGAAAGCAUGGUGAAUCCCUUGCUAGCCGAACACUUAGAGAGAGAUUUUGAUGCUUGAUUUGGUUAGAUUUCAAUGUAUUUUAGUGUUUUUAGUUAGUUAGUAAUGUGUAGCAUGAAAAUCAAGCAAGAAAAAUUCAUUUUCUCCCAUCACCCAUCAUUGGCCGAAUUUUCCAUGUAGAGUGUGGAUGAUGAUUUUGAUUUUAUUUCAAGUGAAUUGGUUCGGAAAUGAUGAAUUACGGUGAGAAAAUCAAGUAGGAAAAAUCAUAGUAUUGAUGCACCCACUAUGGCCGAAAUUCCCAAGAGAAAAUGUGAGAAUGAUUUUUGCCAUAUUUCAAGUUAUUUAAUUUGUGUUUGAUGAUUUGGAGUAUUGGGAGAAAAAUGAAAUUACUUAGAGUUAAAUUGGACAUAUUGACUAAUUAAUCGAGUGAUAGAUCGAAUUAGGCCAAUACCAUUUAAUUUAAGUACACAAUUGAAUUUGUGUAGAACAUCGUGUUUAGACGAUAAUCCAAACAAUUUGCAUUCCAUUUCAUGCAUUAGUAAAGAGCCUGAAAUAGAUUUAUAAUGGUAUGACACAGUAUAUUGAAUUAUGUGUCAUGUAUUGUAUAUAGGUGGUGAGCCCUCUAACAAGGGUAAAGACGUUGUAUCAGAAGACUGAGAAUAGGAGUAUUUCAAACUCCUGAUACUGUGAGUAACCUUACUAUCGUCUUAAUUAUCUAAAGUGGUUUUUAUCCGAUUUUAUGAUUUUAUGGAAAAUGAGUUAAAUGGUAAAUCUUUGUGUUUUAUAACUAAAAUGUGAUUUAAAUGAAAUGAUUUUAUAAAAUCGUCUUGAAUUUGAAUGAUGGUUUUGAAAAUGGAGUAAAUAAAGACUAAUUGCUGUGUUAUAAAUCAUGAUUUGAAUUGAAUGGCUUAUGAUAAUAUUGGCAUGAAUGGUUGAUUUGGUAAAUGUGUUAAAAAUGUAUGAACUGUUAAUUUUCCUUGAGAGGCUGUAAAAUAAAAUAAUUGCCAUGUCAUGCUAUUACAAAUUUUAUUAUAUGGUGGGUUAUAAAUUAGUCGCUACAGUGGACGGGUUCCGUGGACCAGCCUAUUAGAGAGGCACGAUAAUCCUAUUAUAUUCAUACCUCAAUAUGAGAGGCGCGGUUGGAUAACUCUUGAGGGUAACACUUUAGAGUUCACUUCACAUCAAACCACCAUGUAAGGGUGAACUCAGCCAACGCCAAGGAACGACUAUGUUUUCAAAAUAAAAACAUGAUUUAUGCGUACAUAACUUUUUAACAGCCUUGGCGGACUCAGUUGGGAUAGCCCUCGAUCAAGGUAUCCCUAAUAACUGAGUAUGAGAAUGAUUUUGGCACGAGCCAAAGUUUUAAGAAAUUCAUAAGCUGUCACGACCCAAAUUUUCAACCCAUGACCGGCGCAAGGGCCCAAUAAACGUAGUCUAUUAAGCCCAAGCAAGCCUAUUGAUUUAUCCUACUCAUCAUUCCAUCAAAUAUCGCUAAGUCAUAUUUCAUACUUUUGAAUCAAAAUAGUGAUAUACAUUGCCAACUCGUACUGGCAUUACUCCUUAAAAAUUUACAUACAAUGUCUACAACAUUGAUUCUAAUAAUUUACAUUAAGUUUUUCUAUAUAAAACAAAAUAACCCUCGACUUCCAACGGAGGGACUCGAAUGAAUGUACAGCUACUGAAUGCCGAGACACCUACCAAAAGAUGGACACAGGUCUACAAGGACAUCUCGUCCUAGUUACCAGCUGCCUCAUGAUCUGAAAACAUGAAUUUAAAAAUGGUGAUUAUAAACCCAGUGAGUGAACAAGGAAGGGAACAAGCAUACCAUAGGGAAUCUUUAAUGAAAUCAUGAUACAUUCUUUUUCAAAACAAUGCAAUUUGUUUCCAUUCUUAUUAAAAACCCCUCAUCAAGCCUUUAAAUGAUUAAUCAUUUGAAAAUCAUUAACCCAUACAUAGCGAACCAUUUAAAGAAUAAAAGCUUCAAUAUUACACAAGUAAGUCAAAUACGACAACGAAUCUUCGCUGCAGCGGAAAGGCAUUCUCGCUCCAGCAUAGCUGCAACGAGAAUGAAUUUUCGUUGCAGCACGUUGGGAUUUAAUUAUUAACCAAACGAGGGUUUCUCAACUGGCCGAGGAUUUCUCAUUAAACCUCCUCAUUUUAAACUUAACUCAUUUAAUCCUUAAUGUUGGAAGUCCAUGCUCUGAUAUGGUAGCAAUGAAGUGAAAGAUAGGAUAGCAAUUGAACAAGAUAGGAGACCAAAACAGAAAGUUUUUCGCUGAAUCUCGUUGCAACGAAAUUGUAACCCAGAAAUAGAAUGUUUCUCACUGCAGCGAAAUUCAAUCUCCCUGCAGCGAAAUUGCAACCCAAAAACAAAAAGUUUCUCGCUGUAGCAAGAAGCUACAGUGUCAUUCUCGCUGCAGCGAAAAUGCAUCCUUGUUGCAACGAGUUUCUGGCCAACCUACCCUUUCAAAACUCGAGAGUUUCUCGCUGCAGCGAGAAUCAUUCUCGCUACAGCGAAAUAUAAGGCAUCAAAUGAAAAUUUCCCUUUCUCCAAAAGAAAACUGUCCUGCUUGAAAUGUUCAAAACCAAUAUGAAACACAUAACAAUUUCUCAAGGUUUAACAUGUCAAGUUUCACAUGCAUUACAACCAUAAACCAUUAUCCAUCAAUUUCCUAUAGCACACAUAUUUACAUAUGUAUAUAUAUAUAUAUAUAAAUAUAUACGCAUAUACCCAUCAUCAUCAUCACCAGCUCAUGCGCACUCCCUACUCGCACAUGGCUAGGUCAUCACCAGGUUAUGCGCACUCCCUACUCGCACAUAACUGGGUCAUUCUAGACUUAUGCGCACUCCUUACUCGCACAUAGCUUAGUCAAUAUAAUUACACAACAUUAUAUUCAAGCAUAUAUGUAUAUCAACAUAAUGCAGCCACAUAGAAAUCCAUAAUAACCACAUAUCAUAACAUAAAUCAUUUCCCAAUAGCUUGUUCCCAAAACAUUCAUUUUCAUGAAAAAUCGUACAAAAUCAUUCAAACGUUUGUCAAAUACAUUAUAUUCCCAAAAUAAGUUUUGAAGGCAGUCCACUCACCAAAUGAUUGUAGAGCCUUUAGAUGACCUCAAUUCCCUUAAUUGUCCAAAUGGGAUGAUGGGGCUUCCUUAAAACCUAGGAUCACAUUAACAUAAACAAUAGAUCAAUUUACACACUAUGAACUCUAAAAGCUAUCUCUUAGCUAGUUUUCAAUUGCCACAUUAAACGGCUAUCUAUGUUCACUAUCUUAAUCACUAAAAAGUAAUGAACAUAGUCAACAAUAAAACAGCUCAUAAAUCCCAAUUACUAGCCAUUUUCUGCAGCUAAAAAUCGAGCUUAGUUCAUUACUUACCCUAGGGCUCCUUUGUAGUCAAAUUCUCUUCCAAUUGCUUCCAAAUCAAUGAAGUAAUUCUCUCUUUCUCUCUCUAGAAUGCCCAACUAGUGAGAGAAAGUCUGGAAAUAAGCUUUAUCAAGGAUUUUGAAGUGAGAGGAUAAAAGAAUUCAAAGGUUCUAGUUAAAAGGGUUUAAAGGUGUGAAAACUAAAGCUAGAGAGAGAAAAUCAUUCAAGCUUCAAAUCAAGCUUCCAUGGAGUUUUGAAGAAACGUGAGAGAGAAGAAGAAGAAGAAGAAGACCAGCUGUUAGAAAAUCUCUAGAAGCUGUUAGAAAUUCAAGAUAUUUAUAGGCAAUCUUAUCCUUUCCUUUAAAAUUACGAAAAUGCCCUUCCACCAAUUAACUUAUUCUCCUCCAAUCUUUUAUGUAAUCUUUUUGCUCUUUUAACACUGAGACAAGAUCCAUAAUGGUCUAGACAUGUUCGGGUUCAUAAAAACUUAAAAUUUUAACUUGAUGUGAAAAAUAACCAUUUUGCCCCUGUUAUGAAAAUUGUUGAAACUUAUACUUUUCUUUGUGUUUUCAUCAGCACACAUCAUUUAUGUAGUCUUAUACCCAUUUAAGCCUUAAAAUAUCAUAAAACUUUCUUCUGGAAGCUUAUUAGAGAAAAUGACAAAACUACCCUUAGCUCAUAUUAUUACAUCUAUACUUAAUUACAAGCCUAUAGAGGUUGAGGUCUCACAUAAGCCAUGUUGAUUACUCAAUUUAUAUGAAUUGAUUUAGUUUGGUUGAAAUGAGUUGAAAGGUGAUGAAUUACAGUAUGUUAAACUAUUUUAUCUCUCUAUUUACUCAGCUUUAGAUAUUUUAGAUGGUAUUUGUUUACUCAUUGGGAUUAUAUAAUCUCACCACCCUCCUUUCCACCCAUUUCAAGCUCAAGAUAGUCAGUAGAUAGCUCAUUUCAUUGAGGGCUACAGUUGGAUUUGCAUCCUCCAAACUGGAGGUUCAUAGUUUUCCUUACUUUAAGUUAUUCGGGAGCCUACUGGUUAUUGUAAAUUAAAUUAAAUACUCUGACUUACUGUAUUACAGCAUGUAUGAAUUUAUUUUGCUUUUACGUUGCAAAAAAAUUAUUUACGUAUAACUCUAAAAAUAUUAUUUUAUAAGAAAAUAGAAUAUUUUAUUGAAUAUUUUUUUAUUUUUUUAUUAUAUCCAAAUAAUCAUAAUUUCAUUUUAAAUGAAGGUUUUAGAUGUUUAAACUUAUUUUUUAUUAUGAAUUAUGUGUUUUGUUCUUGUAUAUUACAUUUUAACGGAUUUCGAGAUUUUUGAGAAAAAAUGAUCAAAAUGCCCAUGAGAAAAAAAUUAUUUUUUUAUUGUUUCGAUUUGAAAAUAGUUUAUAAUCUCUCAAAACAUAAUUUUAGUGACUAAUACUCACAAGGGAAGCGAGAAAAACUGAUGUUAAGCCUUGACAGGUUUCGAUUGACAUUUCGGGUAAUGAAUGUUUAUCGGGACGUCGCGGAGGUUGUCACAGGCUCGAUGGGAGUUCUGAGUCGUGACACAUACUUAACAUAAUUUGAAAGACAUUACACUCUUAAAUCUAGAGAUCUUUUGUCAUCACAAAAGAAAAGAAGGAGAUUGUUGACUUCAUAUGUUUUUUAUGAUAACAAAACAUUACUCAUUCUUUAGGUCUAACAAUGUUACUUGAGUGUGCAGGGGUAAAAUUGAUAUAUUGUUGUUUGUCUCACACCCUAAAUGCCCUAGGAUAAGUCUCAAGUCCCAAAAAAGUGAUUCAAGCAAGUUAGAAGGCAUUUUGUGAAAUUUAAUCGAUUAACAUUUUAGUUUAAUCAAUCAAUCAAGUCUAAAAGGAAGAUUUUAAAACUUCAGAAAAGACGUUAACUGAUUAACACAAAGAUUAAUCAAUUAAAGUAAUGUUGGAAGGGACAUUGAGACAAACAAAAAGAUUUUAAUAGAUUAACAUAAGGUUUAAUAAAUUAAAAUAUCGAUUAAAGAAGUACUGGAAGAAAUACUAUAACAAAAUUAAUCGAUUCACAAUAGGCUUUAAUCGAUUAAAAUUCAAACAAAAGGUAUUUCAGUAACUUAAAGUGAAAAUUCAAAUUCAAGUUGACCAUUGGAGGGUAUCAAUUGAAGAAAUUUGAAGUCAAGAAGAUUUUAAUUAGUUAAAGAUUAGAUUAAUCGAUUAAAGAGGAAACAAAGAGCUUUUAAUCAAUUAAAGUCAAGUUUAGUUGAUUAACCUAGAGCACAUGGAGACAGAUAGAAUGGUUUUAAUCAGUUAACGCUAAGAUUAAUCGAUUAAAGCAAAGCAUAGGAAGACAGAUAGAAAGUUUUAAUCGAUUAAAAUUUAUUUUAAUCGAUUAAACAGGGCAACUGAUUUGAAUUUAAAUACUACUACAAGAUCAAACAAUAGGCAGAUUCUUCCCAAAUUGUCUUUAACUGCAGAUUUUCACUCUCCAAGUAUAAAAAAUGGUUCAAAUGGUCCUAAAUGAAAGAAAGAACCAUCCAAAAGAAAGGUUGAGCUAAGAAGUAUCCAAAAGUUCUUUUUUCCAGUAUGUUUCACUCUUAUCUUUGUAAAAAAACUUUAAGCUUAACUUUGUAUAUCUUAAAUUAGCUAGGUGAUCAAUUGUACUAUAUCUUUUCUUUAUUCUUUGUUUACUUUGACUGUGAGAGACACCUUAAGAGGUAACUAAGCUUAGGAAAGCUUGGGAAUCUUAUAGGGGUUUUGAGCUUAGGUUAGAAGCUCACUUUUUAAAAGUUUGGUGGAAGUUGUCAAUUCCACUAGUUUAGUGAAAUUGGGUUGAAAAAUCCUUGACUAAGAGAUCAAGGUAGUAGAUGUAGGUCAAGGAGACCAAACCAUAAUAAAUACUUGUGUUUGGUCCACUUCUCUUUACCAUCUCUUUACGUGGUGCCUUUUAGUCUUGACAAGUUUUAAACUCUCCUUUUCAAAAUCAUUCAAAGGCUUUUCAAACUUAAGAAUUUCCUUUAGAAAUAUUUUUUAGUGCUAUUCACCCUUUUCCAGCACUCAAUUAGGACCAACAUACAAUCAACUAACAACAUAUAUCCUAUCAUAAGUUCCUAGCUUCGGACAAAAACCUAUCUUCGAAACUAGUAGAUUUAUCAAAUAACCUUCCUUGAAGUUCUAAUAAAUUUCUAAGCUUCAAACCCAAUCCAUAAAAUAAAUAACAUUAACUUUCCUUACCUUCACAACCUCCUUGAAGAGCAAAACCCCAAAAUUCAUUGCUCAAAAACAAGUUAAAUAAGUUGAAAUUUAGAAAAUCCUAGAGUUAAGUCAUACGCAUGAGAUUUAAACUCAAAACACCAAAUCUUACCUUAUAAUCAAUUUGAAAGGUUAAACCCUUGCUAAAUGGGGUUUGAAGAGGCUGGGAAAGGGUUUCGAUGCUAUUGGGGGCAAGUUGGGGGCUAGAAAAGUGAAAAAUAAAUUUUAAGGCUCAAGCUGGGUUUUAUAUUUUUUCCACGCUCGAGCUUGGGAAUCAACACCUUAACUCCUAGGUGUCGAUUCCUUAUGCUUAUUUUUCUACCCAAACUUGCUAGAAUCAACACCUUGACCUUAAGGUGUCGAUUCUUGAAGGUUCCAAUAACUUAUUUUGAAAUUCUAACUUAUAAGAAUCAACCCUUUAACUAUUGGGGAUCGAUUCUUGAGUUUCCAAAAGCUAUUCUAAGUAUUCCAUCUUCUAAGGAUCAACCCUUCCUUGCUUGGGGUCGAUUCUUGACACUUCCAAAAGCUAUCUAAGGAUCUUGUACACAUUGAGAUUGACCUUUCAAGCUCAGACUUGGAAAAAUCCACGUCUUUCAUUUCCAUUUUCACCCAUUCUUGCAACCAUCAUUCUUCCAUGAAUGUAUUCAACAAUAUAGAGAGAUUGAACAUCAAAUGACAAGAAAUUUUCAGCAGUAAUCAUCACCAAUUAUAAUUCAUAAAAAGUUCAAAUUUUAACAAUCUCCAUAAUAUGAAAAAUUGAGGUUUCACAGUUAUGUUGUUCAUGUUAUGAAGAACAUGCAUUUGAAUAUUUGUUCUUAGAUACCAUAUAGUCAAAUGAUGACUUUAUUGAAUUUUGUGUUAUUUGUUGUUGAAUUUUUUGUUAAGUAUGCAAAUUAUGCAUAUCAUAUUCCAUUCCAUACUUUUAUAGUUCUAGUUUUUCAUAUGAAAAGCCAUCUAACUUUAAGAUAGUACAAAUUAGACUAUUUUAAGAAGUAAAGGAGCUCAAUUUGCUUUUCAUGAUUCUUAUGUUCUAAGUUGAAAAAUACACUUGCAUUAGUCCAAAAUAAUGUUUUCAAAUGGGUUUUGUAUCAAAUUAUAAUAUCACUUUUGGUUAAAAAACAAUUUUAGACCAUCACAUGUGUUUUGAAAAGACAGAAAUAUGCAUUUUAAAGCUACAGGAGUGAAAGCAUUGACACUAUAAGUAUCAAUACUUCAUUCAUCACAUGAAUAAGGCAUUGGUAUCAAUACUUCAUUCAUCACAUGAAUAAGGUAUUGAGACCCUUGGACCAUGUAUCGAUACUUCAUUCAUCAAGUAUUGAGACCUUUAAGCCAUGUGUCGAUAAUUUCCAAAUAGUAGCCCAAAAUAAAAAUUCCUGUCAAAAGUAUCAAUACUUUCCAUAAAAGUAUCGAUACUUUUGAAUGGUCUUCAAAUAUUGUGGCUGUUUUUAUUUCAAACAAAAUGUUCCCUCUUCAAAAUUUUUUUAAUUUUUGUAGUACCCCAUAUUUUGAUAUGGUGGCUAAUAAAGUUUAUGGAUAUCAAUUUAGGUUGAUUACUGAGUUAAAAGGGUAAUUCAGAAGUGAACCUGUGAAAUCUCGAUCUCCAUAGACACAUAACUAGAAGUAGACACGAUAAUGUGGACUAGGGGUAAUUUUGUAAUUUCUCUUAGUAAGCUCCUACGAAUGGGUUUUUUUGAUGCUAUUAAGGUCUAAAUAGGCCUAAGGAAUGAAUAAAUGAUGUUUAUGAUGGUAAAUAAAUGAGGAAGAUAAAAAUAAUGAUAAUUUCCACGGUAGGGGCAAAAUGGUCAUUUUGCAUCUCGAGUCUAAAUUUUUAAGUUUCGUGAACCUGAGUACCUUUAGACUAUUAUGGACUUUGUUUCAGAGUCAAAAGAGCAAAAAAGUUGCACAAAGGAUGGGAGGAAUACAAAACCACCAUGUUAAAGGCAUUUUGGUAAUUUCAGUCGAAAUUUGGAUUAACUUGAAGCAUAAAUAUCUAUGCUCUAGCAGCUUCUCCUUCUUCAUCCCAGCCCUUCUCUUGAUUUCACAUUUUCUUCAUUCUCCAUUGGAGGAAAACCUUGAAUCCUCCAUAAAUCCCUCAUGGAAAGUCCAAAUUUCAUGCUUUUGCCCACUCUUUCAUAGGGUUUUUCAUGCCCUUCAACUUUUACACCUCAACAGCCUCCAAAAGUCUUUGUUCAUCAUUUUCUCUCACUAGUUGGAAGUUUUAGAGAGAGAAAGAGAGACUUGCCAUAGUAGCUUGAAAACUGUUGAAAAAGAGUUCAACUACAAGUCCACAAGGUGAGAAAUGAGUUAGAAUUUGAUUUUAAGAUGUUAGAGAUGGCUAGAAAUUAGAUUUAUGGGUUGUUAUAUUUUUUAUAGUUAUGUUGUGGGUGAUAGGUUCCAACAAGGCCUCACAUGUCUGUUUGAAGCAAUAAUCGAAGUUAGAGUCAAGUAAAGAUUCAUCAACUAUCGGUGAGUGAACUUGCAUUUCAAAUUUUGUUUUAGGAAUGUGAAUCUAUUUGCACAAACAUUGAUUGAUUUUAUCCAACUUUUCUUAAAAACGUGUGCCUUGGGAACAAGCCUUUGAUAAAUUGUCUCUAUGUUGUGACAUGUGGCUGUUAUGGAUUCAUGCACUACUGCAUUAUGUUUGUAUAUAUAUAUAUAUAUAUAUAUAUAUAUAUAUAUAUAUGUUGUGCAUUGAUAGUUGAUAUUGUGUGAUAAUUUGAUCGAGCGUGUACACGAUGUGGGGGGAUGCACAUGCCAGUGAUGACUGUGGUGAGGGAGAUAAAUGAUGAUAGUGCCCGUGUGCACGAUGUUGGGGGAAGUACACAAUGGCACUGAUUGUGCACGAUAUGGGGGGAUGCACACCAUGACUCCGGCUAUCUGCAAGAUGUGGGGGGAUUCACAUGAGCUGGGUGAGAUGAUGGUGGUAUUGGUGUUUAUUUAUGUAUAUAUGUAUAUGUCACGACCCAAAUUUCGGGCCAUGACCGGCGCAAGAGCCCAAUAGACGUAGUCCAUUAAGCCCAAGCAAACUUAUCUAUUUAUCCUACUCCUUAUUCCAUCAAAUAUUGCUAAGUUAAAAAUUAUAACUUUAAAUCAAAAUAGUAAUAGACAUUGCCAACUCGUAUUGGCAUUACUCAUUUAUUAUAUACAUACAUUGUCUACAACAUGUAUUCUAAUAAUUUACAUUAGGUUCAUCUAAACAAAACAAAAGAAAACUCGACUUCCAGCAGAGGGACUCGGAUGAAUAUACAGCUACUGAAUGCCGAGACACCUACCAAAAGAUAGAUACAAGUCUACAAGGACUCCUCGUCCUAGUUACCGACUGCCUCGUGAUUUGAAAAUAUGAAGUUGAAAACGGUGAGUAUAAACCUAGUGAGUGAACAAGGAAGGGAACAAGCAUACCAUAAGAAAUCUUUAAUGAAAUCAUGAUGCAUUCUUUUUCAAAAUAAUGCAAUUUGUUUCUAUUCUUAUUCAAAACCCCUCACUAAGCCCUAAAUGAUUAAUCAUUUGAAAAUCAAGGACCCAUACAUAACAAACCAUUUAAAGAAUGAAAACUUCAAUAUUACACAAGCAAGUCAAAUACGACAAUGAAUCUUCGCUGCAGCGGAAAGGCAUUCUCGAUGCAGCUACGCUGCAACGAGAAUGGAUUUUCAUUGCAGCGACGUUGGGAUUUAGUUACUAGCCGAACGAAGGUUUCUCAACUGGUCAGGGUUUCUCACUAAACCUCCCCAUUUUAAACUUAACUCAUCUAAUCUUUAGUGUUGGAAGUCCAUGCUCCGAUAUGGUAGCAAAGAAGUGAAAGAUAGGGCAAUAAUUGGACAAGAUAGGAGACCAAAACAGAAGGUUUUUCGCUGCUGCGAGAUUGAAUCUCGUUGCAGCGAAAUUGUAACCCAGAAAUAGAAAGUUUCUCACUGCAGCAAAAUUUAACUAAUGAAACAGAGAGUUUUUCGUUGCAGCGAGAUUCCUUUUUGCUGCAGUGAGAAGCUACAGUGACUAUCUCGCUGCAACGAAAUACAUUUUCGCUACAGUGAGAACCAGUUCUGGUGAAGGUUCUCAAACCCGAGAGUUUCUCGUUGCAGCGAGAAUGAAUUUCACUGCAGCGAAAACCGAGCAAUAAGAGAAAAGUUUUCCCUCACUCAACAAAAAAGCCAUCCUGUUAAACCAACAAAACCAAUAUACAGCACAUAAAAUUCCCAAAGUGUAAUGUAUCAAAUUUCUCAUAUAUGUUAAUCAUAUAUCACAUUCAUAAGUUUUCAUUUCAUAAGUCUAGAUAUGCAUAAUUACGUAGAUAAACAUCAACAUCAUCAUAAUCACACUCGGCUCAUGUACAUCCCCCCACAUCGUGCACAUAGCCGGCACCAUCGUGUGCAUCCCCCCACAUCGUGCACAAUCAGUGCCAUCGUGUACAUCCCCCCCACAUCGUGCACAUAGGCACUAUCAUCAUCCACCUCUCAUGCCACCAACAUCACCGGCAUGUGCAUCCCCCUACAUCGUGCACACACACGGUUACAGUUAUUAUACACGAUAUCAUUCAUCAUGCACAACACACACAUUUAUAUAUCAUUAUACUACAAUAGUGCAUGAAUCCAUAGCAAUCACAUAUCACCACAUAAAACCAUUUUGCAAAAGCUUGUUCCCAAGGCACUUGUUUUUAUAAAAAGCUUGAUAAUUCAUUCAAAUGGGCGGCAAAUACAUUAUAUUUCCCAAAACAAGUUUUGAAGGUAGUCCACUCACCAAUUAAUUGUAGAGCUUUUAGAUGACUCCAAUUCCCCUAAUUGUCCAAAUGAGAUGAUAGGGCUUCCUUAGAACCUAGGAUCACAUUAGCAUAAUCAAUAGGUCAAUUUACACACUAUGAACCCUAAAAGCUAUCUCUUAGCUAGCUUUUAAUUGCCACAUUAAAUGGCCAUCUAUGUUCACUAUAUCAAUCAGUAAAAGUAAUGAACAUACUCAACAAUAAAACAACUCAUAAAUCCCAAUUACUAGUCAUUUUCUGCAGCUAAAAAUUGAGCUUAGUUCAUCACUUAUCCUAGAGCUCCUUUGUAGUCAAAUUCUCUUUCAAUAGUUUCCAAAUAAAUGAUAUAAUUUUCUUUUUAUCUCUCUAGAAUGACCAACUAGUGAGAAAAAGUAUAGAAAUGAGAUUUAUCAAGGGUUUUGAAGUGAGAGGAUGAAAGAGCAUAAGGGUUUAUGGAAGGGUGCACCAAAAGCAUGAAAAUUGAAACUAGAGAGAGAAAGUUAUGGAAGCUUGAAGAAACUCCCAUGGAGGAAUUGAAGAAACAUGAGAGAAGAGAAAGGAAAAAGAAGACCAGUUGCUAGAAAAUCUCUAGAAGCUGCUGAAAAUUCAAGAUAUUUAUAGCCAAUCUUAUCCUUUCCCUUAAAAUUACGAAAAUGCCCUCUCACCAAUUUACUUACUCUCUUCUAAUCUUUUAUACAAUCUUUUUAUUCUUUUAACAUUGGGACAAGAUCCAUAAUGGUCUAGACAUGUUCGGGUUCAUACAAACUUAAAAUUUUAACUCGAGGUGAAAAAUGACCAUUUUGCCUCUGUUAUGAAAAUUAUUGAAACUUCUAGUUUUCUUCAUGUUUUCAUCAGCACACAUCAUUUAUGCAGUCUUAUACCCAUUUUGACCUUAAAAUAUCAUAAAACUUUCUUUUGGAAGCUUAUUAGAGAAAAUGACAAAACUACCCCUAGCUCAUAUUAUUACAUCUAUGCUUAGUUACAAGCUUAUAGAGGUUGGGGUCUCACAGUAUAUAUAUGUUUGUGAAAUAAAAGUUCAUGAAUAUAGUAUAUGGUUGUAAUGCAUGUGAAAUUUUGGCAUGUUGAACUUUGGAAAUUUUUUAGUAUUUCAUGUUGAAAUUGACAUGAUGAAUCUUGAGAAUGUCCCAUUUUAUUGCAAAUUGAGUUUAUUGCGGCACCAAAUGGAUUUUUAGUGCAAAGGAGGUCAUUUUACAUUUAGGUGCCCUGCUUCUCGCUGCAGCGAGAAACAUUCUGUUUUGGCAACCAACAAACUCGCUGUAGCGAGAAACUCUCAGAUUCUGAUGCAGUGCUUUCACUUCGAUGAAGAUUUUGACUAUCUUCUCGUCCGAAUUGGGAAAAGUGGUAAACAUAAAAGUUGUAGCAAUGUCUCUUAUCUUUCUAAUGAUCUAAAAAUCAGGUUAUUUGGAGUUCUGUAUUGGGAGAUAUAAUAGAAAAAAUGAAACAUAUACAAACUGACACUAUUUCUCGCUACAACGAGAAACUUUCGAUUUUGGCCUCCUAAAUCUCGCUAUAGCGAGAAUAAACUUCGUUGCAGUGAGAAACUUGUUGCCAUAAUUGCUACCUUGCUUAAUUUUGACCUUCUUUUCACCCAUUUAACUUCAUGGAUUGAUCAUGGAUUUGUGAAACACUAUGAAGGUAUUAAUCAAGGUUUGAAAUGAGGGGUUUUAGUAAGAAAUUAAAUCAAGUGCAUUGUUUUUGAAACAAGUGCAUCAUGAUUUCCAAACUCUUCCUAUCGAUUGCUUGUUCCCUUCUUAUGUUCACUCACUGAGUUUUAUACUCACGUUUUUAAACUUCAUGUUUUUAGAUUCGAAGGCAAGUUGGGACUUAGAUGGAGUCGCACACAUAUGCUCGCCUUCUUGGUAGGUACUAUGGCAUCUCAGUAGCGAUACCUUCACUUAAAGUCACUUCGCUGACGGUCAAGAGUCUUGUGCUUGUGUACAUGUAUAAGUAAUGAAGACCACUAAGAUUCAUGUUAAAAAUCAAAUAUGCAUAUUUGAUUACUAAUGCCACUAUAAGGUGGCAAAUGAGUGAUACUAUGUUAGCAUAAUACAAAUGUGAAUAUUGGAUUGCUAUAAAAUGUUACUGAAAU
RNAcentral lists this long non-coding RNA (13584 nucleotides) under Theobroma cacao (cacao). RNAcentral describes it as "long non-coding RNA (TCAC_LNC000876)". Lineage: Eukaryota; Viridiplantae; Streptophyta; Magnoliopsida; Malvales; Malvaceae. The record is from RNAcentral.